Molecule: transfer-messenger RNA, 224 nt
Filed under: Actinomycetota bacterium
Lineage: Bacteria; Bacillati; Actinomycetota
Description: Actinobacteria bacterium partial transfer-messenger RNA
Rfam family: transfer-messenger RNA
About the family: Bacterial tmRNA, also known as 10Sa RNA or SsrA, is named for its dual tRNA and mRNA-like properties. Its role is to liberate the mRNA from a stalled ribosome.
Source: RNAcentral
GGGGGUGACAGGCUUCGACUUCGGUAGUUGAUCUAGGUGAAGCGGGCCGAGGACGGCGGACAUAACCUCGUAAAACCUGUGACCGCACCUCAAUAAGUGCCAAUGUAAAGCGCACUCACCUCGCCCUCGCGGCCUAACGCGAGGUAGAGGUUGUCAGCCCGGGAGCGCCUCCGGCCCGGUGUCUGGCAUCAGCUAGGAGGAUCCACCGUUCAGCCCGGUCGCGG